Molecule: long non-coding RNA, 466 nt
Organism: Aethalodelphis obliquidens (Pacific white-sided dolphin)
Lineage: Eukaryota; Metazoa; Chordata; Mammalia; Artiodactyla; Delphinidae
Exons: 3
Source: RefSeq, a predicted model, not a curated record
UAAGCUUCCACAGUAUGUCUCAUCUACAGUCCUCCCUCAGUACCCGAGGGGGAGAGGUUCCUGGACUUCCACGGAUACCGUGUGGAUCUUCAAGUUCCUUAUAUAAGAUGGAACUGAAAGGAAAUGCCAUGUUUUCAUGGCAUUUCUUUCCUGGAAACUUGAACUUGCCACCAUGGGAAACCACUGCUUCAGCCAGCAAACAUGGAAUCGCCACACAGAGCCUAUAUCUUCUCAUUUUUCACUCUGGAUCAAAAUGUCACACAGGUGCUUCAGACUGGCAAAGUCUUAUUCAAGUGCCUUCAUUCUAUCUGCAAAGGAGGCUAGAAAUUUGCAUUGGGUCUCCUACAUUGGAAUCGUUCUGAAGAACUAAGCCUUCUGGAAUUGUCCCUCUGGUGUCACAGAGGUUUUGCACCCUGAGGCAGUGCACCAGGCUGACGCUUGGAAUGGGUAAGAAGGACUUUAUUUU